This 87-nucleotide transfer RNA is filed under the name Bacillus sp. TH11. RNAcentral's name for it is "tRNA-Leu". It matches the Rfam family "tRNA". From Rfam's summary of the family: Transfer RNA (tRNA) molecules are approximately 80 nucleotides in length. Their secondary structure includes four short double-helical elements and three loops (D, anti-codon, and T loops). The record is from RNAcentral. Lineage: Bacteria; Bacillati; Bacillota; Bacilli; Caryophanales; Bacillaceae.
GCGGGUGUGGCGGAAUUGGCAGACGCGCUAGGUUGAGGGCCUAGUGGGGGAAACCCCGUGGAGGUUCAAAUCCUCUCGGCCGCACCA